GUGCCAGCAGCCGCGGUAAUACGAAGGGGGCUAGCGUUGUUCGGAAUUACUGGGCGUGAAGCGCGCGUAGGCGGACAUUUAAGUCAGGGGUGAAAUCCCGGGGCUCAACCUCGGAACUGCCUCUGAUACUGGGUGUCUGGAGUUCGGGAGAGGUGAGUGGAAUUGCGAGUGUAGAGGUGAAAUUCGUAGAUAUUCGCAGGAACACCAGAAGCGAAGGCGGCUCACUGGCUCGACACUGACGCUGAGGUGCGAAAGCGUGGGGAGCAAACAGGAUUAGAAACCCUUGUAGUCC
RNAcentral lists this ribosomal RNA (292 nucleotides) under uncultured bacterium. RNAcentral describes it as "partial 16S ribosomal RNA". It matches the Rfam family "Bacterial small subunit ribosomal RNA", at positions 505 to 796 of the family's 1533-position model. The record is from RNAcentral.